Molecule: ribosomal RNA, 447 nt
Filed under: uncultured bacterium
Lineage: Bacteria
Description: bacterial SSU rRNA
Rfam family: Bacterial small subunit ribosomal RNA
Source: RNAcentral
CCCAGACUCCUACGGGAGGCAGCAGUGGGGGAUAUUGCACAAUGGGGGGAACCCUGAUGCAGCGACGCCGCGUGGGUGAAGAAGUAUUUCGGUAUGUAAAGCCCUAUCGGCAGGGAAGAAAUUGGACGGUACCUGACUAAGAAGCCCUGGCUAACUACGUGCCAGCAGCCGCGGUAAUACGUAGGGGGCAAGCGUUAUCCGGAUUCACUGGGUGUAAAGGGAGCGUAGACGGCCAUGCAAGCCUGGAGUGAAAGCCCGGGGCCCAACCCCGGGACUGCUCUGGGAACUGUGCGGCUGGAGUGCGGGAGGGGCAGGCGGAAUUCCUGGUGUAGCGGUGAAAUGCGUAGAUAUCAGGAGGAACACCGGCGGCGAAGGCGGCCUGCUGGACCGCGACUGACGUUGAGGCUCGAAAGCGUGGGGAGCAAACAGGAUUAGAUACCCCAGUAC